Molecule: long non-coding RNA, 251 nt
Organism: Sinocyclocheilus rhinocerous
Lineage: Eukaryota; Metazoa; Chordata; Actinopteri; Cypriniformes; Cyprinidae
Exons: 3
Source: RefSeq, a predicted model, not a curated record
UUCAGGAGUGGGACAUCGUUAUCGACAGCAUGGAUAGGGAUGUUGUGUCCAAAAGAUUGAGAUCCAGAAUGGCUCAAGGGCUCAGAUCAGAAGAUGGUCCUCCAAAAGUGAAAGCAGAAGUUCACGAGCAGAGCAUUUCAGUUGCUCCAUUGCAAACACAUGCAGAAACUCCUGCAGACAAAGGUGAAGUACAUCAAACAUGCCACGGCUCUGAUCCAGCAGGAGUUUGGCGGAGACACGUUGGAGGGUCU